Molecule: ribosomal RNA, 460 nt
Filed under: uncultured bacterium
Lineage: Bacteria
Description: partial 16S ribosomal RNA
Rfam family: Bacterial small subunit ribosomal RNA
Source: RNAcentral
CCUACGGGUGGCUGCAGUGAGGAAUAUUGGUCAAUGGACGAGAGUCUGAACCAGCCAAGUAGCGUGAAGGAUGACUGCCCUAUGGGUUGUAAACUUCUUUUAUAUGGGAAUAAAAUGUUCCACGUGUGGGAUUUUGUAUGUACCAUCUGAAUAAGGAUCGGCUAACUCCGUGCCAGCAGCCGGGGUAAUACGGAGGUUCCGAGCGUUAUCCGGAUUUUUUGGGUUGAAAGGGAGCGUAGGUGGAUAGUUAAGUCAGUUGUGAAAGUUUGCGGCUCAACCGUUAAAUUGCCGUUGAAACUGGCAGUCUUGAGUACAGUAGAGGUGGGUGGAAUUCGUGGUGUAGCGGUGAAAUGCUUAGAUAUCACGAAGAACUCCGAUUGCGAAGGCAGUUCACUGGACUGCAACUGACACUGAGGCUCGAAAGUGUGGGUAUCAAACAGGAUUAGAUACCCUUGUAGUC